Molecule: long non-coding RNA, 1107 nt
Organism: Cyanistes caeruleus (blue tit)
Lineage: Eukaryota; Metazoa; Chordata; Aves; Passeriformes; Paridae
Source: RefSeq, a predicted model, not a curated record
AUCUUACUACAAACCACUCUUCUUCCAUUAAAAUUAGAGACCACUUUGGUCAGACAGCCUUUCACACUAGUUACCAAAGAAAAUUGAAGGAAGCUCCCGUUAAAGAACAAUUAGUGGUAUAAAGGAGGUGCAAAGGUGAAACUGAGUGACUGGUGAGUAAAGAGAAGAUAAGUCCUCCCAACUACAAUUCUAAAAGAAGAUUUUGCUUACAGCAAAUAUCCAUAGUGCAAUCUUGGACUUCUGUGUGUGUCAUUUGAUCCAACAGGAAAUAAUGAAACAAUGGGAUAAAGGAGAAAACAGUAGACAUUUAAGAGGCAUGGUUCUUCCAGAAGGCAGAUAUAUAAGCAGUGGAACAGAGUAAUUCUUUAUGUCUUUAAAAGCUUGGCUAAGAAAAACCAAAAAGCUUCACAGAUGCUUGACUGUGCCUCUGCUAAACCACAAGAAGUUGCCAGUAGAAAGUAUAUGCCUGAGAAAAAAACAUUUAAAGCUUUAUGGAAGCUAGAGCCAAGAGUGACGUUAUCUGGUGGCAUCCGGCAGCAAGGCCAUAACCCAACAGCCCAGGAGGGAAGUGUGUCAAGGCCUCUAUUGACCAGCAAAAUCCUGCUGCAUCAGCUAAACAGCACCUGCUCCUUGUUCAGAUGUUCCCCUUCCAGAUGUCCUGUUUUCACCUAAGAGAUCAGUGUGUUCCAGGAGAGCUGACUACUACCUUUUCAUUGUAUUAAAACCUGACAGCAUCCUGGGAAUAAACCAUUUCAAAGCCUAAUGAAAACAAGCUUAUGCUUCCUUCCUAGCCACUGAUACACUCUGAUGUGAAUGCGGACAAUCACGGAACAUGUGCUAAGCAUUACAAUAGCAUUGUAUAAAACUGCACAUUGUACAUUGUAUAAAAUAUAAAAAACAUUUCAUCAUUUUGAAACUCUGCAAAUUGCUUCCAUUUCCUGGGCUAUUUCAGCUUCUGUCAGGACAGAUCGACACCAUUGUCCCAUCCACCCAUGAUCACUGACAUAUCUUAUUCCUUAUUCCAACUGCUCAGCAAAGCCUCAUGAAGGGCAUAUAACCCAAUAUAUUGAACUGACUUCCAAAAGUUUAGGAGAAAGAUCAAAAGGA